UCCUCAUCUUCCAUCAAUACCUCGCUAUUAUCAAGCACAUGGAGUAGUUUCCUCUUCUUAUGAUUUGUUGGGCUAUCUAAUAUCUCAACAUCAGAGGGGCUUCCAGUAUGAACUUCUUUAUCAUAUUUGUAUAUUGGAUAUCCCCUUCUUUUGUUCAUGUAUGAAGAUAGUAAUAUAGCAGCCAAUUUUUUUCUAAAAUGUGACAUGUCAUCCUGCAAAUAAGAAACAAUUUACUUAGCAUUAUAUGUAACACAGACUGUAGAUGUGCAUAUAUGCCAUAAUAGUAAUAAUAUACCUGGGUAAAACUGUCAGAUAGCUCAUCCCCUGUCCAGUACUCGAUAUAGUUCAAAAGAAAUAGGCCACAUGAAGAGCUACAUUAUAUACAUGAAUAAAAAUGUCAAAAUUAACAUUUGUAUGAAGAAAUUAGUUAAGAAGAAUUUAUGGUAUACCCAUCUGUCUGCUUUGCAUAUCCCAUAUCUAUUUCUCUCAGCGGCCAAGAAGCAACUUGAAGGUUUGGCCACCUGUGAUCUUUUAAAUCUUUACGUUGAGAUACCAUAUCAAUUUGCCUUUGCAGCCCUUUAAUCUUUAUAUUUUUGUAAAACAUGGAAUCAGAUGUUGCGCUAAGUUAAUGAGAUAAUAUUAGUAAUUGUUUAGUUUGUGCAAACUCACCGAGUCAGUGAGGUCAUUGCGGUCAAAUGUAGUACCAAGUGAAUCGAGUACUUGUAUCUCCAUAUUUCUUGCAUUGAUGACGGCAAGAUACCAGUGUGUUCCUCGGAUGUUUAUCGGAAUAAACACCUACAAAAUAAUUAUAAAUAUUCCAUAAAAAUAAAAUACAUGUAAACACUAACCAUCUAAAUUGCAAACUAAUAUUUACCAUAUCAUGGUCUAGGUAGAGUAAAACCCUUCGUUCAGCACUACAUAUUUGUGCCAUGUCUGCAAUUGGAUAUAGCUCAUCUGUUUUAGUUUUAACAUCACCGUCUCGCUUUAGAAAGUUGAACUGAAAAGCAUUUUCUAUGUGUACACGACCUCCAGAUCUGCACUUUAGUUGCUGUGUGGUUUUUAUUAAAUUUAUGUAACAGUCUAUCACCUGCAGGUAAUUUAUGGUUAAAAAUACCAGGGUGAGUAAAAAAAAUUAUACAUACCAGGGUCACCAGAUGAAAAACUAAUCAUAGAUUACCUCAUCACCUAUAUAUGCGCCCGGUUUAAAUAGACAUUCUAUCCAUUUCCUUUCCACACAGGCAUCAUCGAUGAGCACGACUUCUACCCUUGGUUCACAAGGGAUUUCUUUAAUCCAAUCGAUGAGGGCAAGAUCAGCAUCCGUGCAAAUAUAAUCUAGGAACAAAACAGUUGUGAGAUGAAAGUAAAAUCGCUUACAAUAUAAAACAAAUUGAUCCCUACAGUAUUAGUAGAGAUAUAUAAUACCUUUCGGAACAAUUACAGUUGCCACCGAUUUUUUAGGCUUGUUAUGAGACAAGCACACAAGUAAAGAUUCAUCUACUGAUAGUUUAUUAUCUCUUUGGGUGGUAGGAAGUAUAGUAUUUUUCUCUUGAUCUUCCAUCCUCGCGAGACAAAAACCUACAAUCAUUGAUACUAUGUUUUACUUGAUAUAUCAAUAAAAAUGUCUCUACUAUAACAAGUUGAAAAUAUGUCUCAAUCUGGUAUCACGAUUGCCAAAUAACCAAGUAUAGCAAUAGCAAACAUAUAUAUUCAAUAAUAUGUAACCAGCUGAAACAAGGUACAUGGCAAACAUUAGUGAGGACAUAAAAGUGAACAACUAUUAGUUCAAACAAUGUGAUUAAGGAACUGAUUAAAUAGUGAUAGUAGAUAUAACUAACAUACAAUUGUAAUACCUUCUUGGACAGCUAUAUUUGUAUUUAGAGGUGAUCCAUUAUCAAAUGUUGCAUCCUUGUCCAAUUGACUUUCAUCAACUCGUACUUCAUUUUCUUCCUCUAAAGAAUCCAUCAAGGAGAAAGAGUCCUGCAUACAUUGCGAAUAAAAUCAUCUAAUCAUCUAAAUAUAUUGUACAUACAUAAUUGCUAUGGAAUCAAUAUGAUAAAAUACAAAUAGGUCCAGUGGACAAUUAGCCCCACCCGGUGAUUCCCCUUUUAGGCAUCCUAUUUCACCCUUUUAGGUUGGUGUUGAUUUUGAUGAUAAAAAUAGCUGGGAGUAUCUUUUCAAGUUAUAUUGGUUGGAUCUGAAAGGGAAGCAUUUACUAACGAUUGAAGAGCUAAAAAGUGCAAAGAACUAUUGGACUGUUCCUACUACUGCUAGUAGGAGAGAGAAAGAGGAGUCAUCUGAUGAACUAUAUGAUGCAAGCAAUGACCAAGAUGCUUACUGAAUGGAUCUUUAUGUUCACAUACAUAGCAAAAUGUCACAUUAUAAAGAUGUAUUAUCUGGUUUGAUUAACUAAUAGUCUAAUACUACAGAGUAUAGACCUCAGAUGCUAAAUACUUACACUUUCAUAUCUAAUCCUAGCCGACUGGUGACAUGCACGAUCUAAUUAUAGCGGAUGAGAUUAGAUGGCGAAGGGGUAUGAACCGGUAUGCAAUUCAACCCGUCCGAUGUAAAUCCGAAGGCUCAGAAUUUUAAGGAACCGUGAUCCCACCAGGGCGGUCUGGAUCGAAUUUAACGGCUUAGAUGGACACACUAAAACGGUAUGGCUCAAACCAAUCGCCACCGUCCAUUUACGGAUCUAUGGUCGCUCUGGCGUCUUCAACCUCACCGGUUCUCUCUCUUUUCUUUCUCCAGCCAACCCGCCGCGGCCGAGCGCCAAAGACACGGCAGCGACCACCCGAGCUCGCCGUUCGAGCCCCCGAUAAACGGCGCAAACCCUUCUUCUCCCCAAACUCCCUGUCUUCGUCUUCCCAGGUCGGCACCCAGCCUUCUUCUACCAUCCGCCCGAGUCUGCGCGCCUCCCAGCGGCAAGUCUCCCUCCCCGACAGCGCCUGGAUCGUUGUCUCGCGCACCACCAAAAAAAUGCAACGGAGCGAGAAGGGGGACUCACCGUCGAUGGAGAGAACUUGGCCGACGGCGUUGCAGAGGGAGGGAGCAGUUCGAUGGCGGCACGCAGACUCGAUCCAGGGUCUCUCACGAACGCGGUGAUGUUGGUUGGCCGGAUGUCCGAGGGACGAACGCGCCUGGAUCGUUGGCCGGAUGUUCGUUGCAGAGGGACGAACGCGGUGACCACCGGUGAUGGGAGGAACACGCGCAGCACAGCCGCACCCAGAGCCGGCGAACAUCCGGGCGGACGCUUUAUAGGCGAGCUAAGGCGGAGAAGUCGCGGUUGGCAGUUGCGGCGUGCGUACGGGGACCCCGUACUCUACGGGCACCACAGCGGAAUGCAAGGGAUGAUGUUAUUCAUGACGCCACGAUGACGUCACGCCCGCGUUUAAUAUUAAAGUAUUGACCACAGCGGAUCGGCAUGGGCCCAGUCGCCAGUGACAGCAUAGGAGCUGAAGCGCGGCCCCCGAGCGGCAGUGGCACACGACGCGCGCGGAUGGCUCUGGGCUGCGCAGUGGACGCGGGUGAGGCUGAAGUGGGCCGCAAGAUUUGAUUUGGGCCCGGCACGAGAAUCACCAUUUUCUUUUCUUUUUCUUUUUUCUGUUUUCUCUUUUAAUUUCUUUAGAUCUCAAAUUUGAAAUUCGAGUUUUUGUUGUGAGUUUCACGUAUGGACUAAAUACACGAAUUCAAAUACUGGUCUAAAAUAGUUUCUUUAUUUAUUUAUGUAUUUAUUUUUUUUCUCCUCACUUGCAUAGUAUUCAAACUUCAUUGCUUACAAUAUUUGCGCCGGGUGUACUCGUGACUCCACUUGGGGCGUAAGGUGAAUUUCCUUACAAUACCAUACCACAAGCUGGUUCCACACUUUCACUCACAUACGGGGUCCUGCAAUCUUCUUUGUUUGACAGAAUUUUUUUUACUGGAAUUGGGCAGUUCAGUGUUGGCGCACUUUGUGCUCAAGGAGCGGCUUGAGAAGCUCAGGGUCCUUGGCUGCGUGUCGUGCAUAGUAGGUUCAGUUGUUGUUGUCAUGCAUGCUCCUGAAGAGCAUAUGCCUAACUCUGUCAAGGAAAUCUAGAACCUAGCUACUCAACCAGGUGAGUCAUUGCAACCCAGUCUUGCGCACGACAGUUCGCUGGAGUUGCAGUUCUCACAGAAUCUCUCCAUCCUGGGGUGUCGAUCGUUGGUAGGGUUUCUAGCAUAUGUGGUGACAGCAUUGUUUCUUGUGGGAGCGCUAGUGCUCUUCUUUGAACCUCGAUACGGUUAGACUAACAUCCUGAUAUAUCUGGGUAUCUGCUCUUCAAUGGGAUCGCUAACGGUCGUGAGCAUCAAAGCCAUUGGUGUUGCCAUAAAGCUUACGUUGGAUGGGGUGAAUCAGGCUGCUUAUCCAUACACAUGGCUUUUUCUUAAUUGUUUGUGGGGUUUCUCAAAUAAAUUACCUGAACAAGGUAUGGACAUCCUUUUUUCAUCCUGUUGCUUCACCCGUGGAUGUGUUUUGCUGAUUGCACCUACAUCUUGUAGCCUUGUACUUCUGAGUAUGAACUACUAAAAGUUUUUGUUAUUCUGCAACAUCUACAAGCAUAUUUUAAGUAUCCAUUACAAGUUAUCAAGAAAACUUGCAUCUUAAAUUGGUUAAUGUAUUUCUAAUCGUUGCAGCGUAUAUCUUAGUUUGAGUUAUUCUAAAUUUCCUUCUAUUUUUGCAGGCAUUGGAUACCUUUUUUUCUUAUUUGCCAGAAUAGUUACUUGUCUGAUGUAGCAGAACAUUCAGACUCAGAAGAUACAAAAAGCAAUGGGAUCCCUAUCAAUCCUAUUAUAUAUAUCAUGUUAACUGAAACCAGUGCUCCUAUUCUAGACAUACACCUGGUUUGAAGUAAAACCUAUAACAAGAGCACUGUAAAAAACGUCUAACAGACAAAAAAAGAGUAAACUCAUAUACAAAUUUGUUUAAUCUCUAAUAGGAACUGCACAUCAAAGCACGACUCUGUGUGGUUGUCUUGCAGGGAACUGUCAACCAAGGAUCAACUCUUCAGCUGAAAGAACGUGUACACAAGCCAGAGAUCAUGUUAUGCCACCUCAAGCCUUCCUCAGAGCCUUGACCCGAGCAGACAAUUCAUCGAAGUCUGGCAUUUUUGGGAGAACAUGCGCACUCCUAGGACCUUCCGGCUGAAGUGAUGUGCAUCGAGCAUGAACCUUCGCAUCUUUGCUCGGGCCAACAGAUUCAGGUGGUAGCGAGAUAGCUCUACCCGUGGGAUGCAAGGAGCCAAGGAAACCUUAUGCACAGCAUCUGUAUGUGUUUCAUUGUUGGUCAGAUCCGAACCUUUCUUUGUAUAGUGCAUCAAAAGCUUGUCCAUCAUCCUUUCCUCCUCAUCCAUGUCUCCGCCGCGCCCGCUGUUGUGUCGCAUCUGUCCAUUUGCAUUUCGAGGAAAGAGAUUACCACAAUCAAUAGCAGUCUCAGCUGCUUCAGGUUGCAUACGCUGCAUCAACCUGGCAGAGUUGUUCUUGUGGUUUAAAGCAUUGUUAGGACCUCAACAUAAGCAUCAACAGGCGCUGGCAGCUUUGCAGUUCUCCUUCUGACAGAAACAGGAUCAUCAUUCACAGGUUGUAUGAAGGCAUUGCUAGUUCUGCUGGCUUCCUUGAACCCUUCUCAGGCAUAUCCUAAGGGAAAGUGUAAAACACAUUAAAUGAUUUCAAGUUAAGGACAUUUUAGUGUGUCUACAUCAUAGUUCAUGUAAUAAAUAUGUUUUGG
Zea mays is the source of this 5740-nucleotide long non-coding RNA. RefSeq lists it as uncharacterized. The record is from RefSeq and is a predicted model, not a curated record. The transcript has 3 exons. Lineage: Eukaryota; Viridiplantae; Streptophyta; Magnoliopsida; Poales; Poaceae.